Non-coding RNA from Equus caballus (horse), 461 nucleotides. The record is from RefSeq and is a predicted model, not a curated record. Lineage: Eukaryota; Metazoa; Chordata; Mammalia; Perissodactyla; Equidae.
GGGACUAAUCCAGCAUUUCCCCGGGGUGUGGGCUGGGGAGGGCUGGAGAAUAAAUCGGGGGUGUCAGUGACAAGGUGACAUUUGCACGCGCCCUGAAGACUGAGUGGUUUCCGAGGUUCUGUAGAGAAAGAUAGUGCGCAAGCAACUGAGGAAACCGUCUGAGCAAAGCCAGGAGGCUGAAAAGCAAAGGGGCCGAGAACUUCGUGGCACUCACUCAGAACAACUCGAGAUUCAUGCCCAGGUUCUCUGGUCAGGAAGCUUCAGGCUCCUCCGAGCCCACCCUGGGGACGUGCGGCACAGGGAAUCAGUGCAAGAAAAUACCAAUUCUCUGGAUCUUCUAUUUCUAUUUAACUGAUCCUCACAAAAGAAACCACAGAUCGAAGGCAAUUCUCGUGAUAUGGGCUCAAGAGAACAAGAAAGUGGAGGGGCUAACUCUCCUAACAGGAGACACAUUUGCAGGU